Molecule: small nucleolar RNA, 141 nt
Organism: Bufo bufo (common toad)
Lineage: Eukaryota; Metazoa; Chordata; Amphibia; Anura; Bufonidae
Product: small nucleolar RNA SNORD94
Exons: 1
Source: RefSeq, a predicted model, not a curated record
GUGGCAAUGAUGAAUCGCGCAGGGGUACGGACCUCGGCUAAAUCAUGGGAGCCGAAUGCAGCGCUGGGUAUUCUGAGAUGGCUGACGUGUGGUUGGCUGCUUAGAACUGGCCUGUAUGAACUCGUCGCCCAACUGAGCCAC